ACUCAAAGGAAUUGACGGGGACUCGCACAAGCGGUGGAGCAUGUGGUUCAAUUCGACACAAAACGAAAAACCUUACCCGGGCUUGAAAUGCACUUGAAGACAUCUGGAAACAGGUGUUGUCCCUUAAAAGACAGGUGCACAGGUGCUGCAUGGUUGUCGUCAGCUCGUGCUUUGAAGUGUUCCCUUAAGUGGGGUAACGAGCGCAACCCCUAUCGUGUGUUAGAUAUGUCACACGAGACUGCCCCCUCUUCUGUAUCGGAUCAAUCGAUCGGAUCUAGAAGAGGGGGAGGAAGGAGGGGAUGACGUCAAAUCAGCAUGGCCCUCUGAUGCCCGGGGCCACACACGUGCUACAAUGGGCGAGACAAUGGGUUGCCAACGCGCAAGCGGGAGCUAAUCCCAUCAAACUCGUCCUCAGUUCAGAUUGAAGGCUGCAACUCGCCUUCAUGAAGUUGGAAUCGCUAGUAAUCGCGGAUCAGCAUGCCGCGGUGAAUACGUUCUCGAGUCCUGUACACACCGCCCGU
RNAcentral lists this ribosomal RNA (521 nucleotides) under uncultured bacterium. Its description in RNAcentral is "partial 16S ribosomal RNA". It matches the Rfam family "Bacterial small subunit ribosomal RNA", at positions 899 to 1397 of the family's 1533-position model. The record is from RNAcentral.